This is a long non-coding RNA of Mastomys coucha (southern multimammate mouse), 2251 nucleotides long. RefSeq lists it as uncharacterized. The record is from RefSeq and is a predicted model, not a curated record. The transcript has 2 exons. Lineage: Eukaryota; Metazoa; Chordata; Mammalia; Rodentia; Muridae.
GCAGUUGCAGGGGACAGAACCUGUGUCUUUGAGAGACCCAGGUAGACACCCUGAUCCGUGUUCUUAGAUCCGUAGCGUUUCCGCGGGAUCAUCGAGUCGCAUAACCUCGGACUGUUGUGGAGAGGAGAAUGUCAUUCUCCAGACAGCCUCUUUCCCCAAAUUCUCCCCUCAACUAGCAAAUCUUCAGGACCUUUCCCGUAUUUGACAGACUUUUGAGACCAAGGGCACCCGCAGAUCCUGAACCCUGGACACGGCGAGAACGGUCAGUUUCCUCCAAGCCCAAGGCGAACAACCUCAGAUUCUCCUUCCAACUUGGCUCUGACUGUCAGAGUACCGGCUGGGGCCCCUAAAGUCGAGCAAACAGCCACAGCCUGGUUCUGCGGCCCUCAACUUCCAGGCAGACCUUUGCAGUUGGCCCAGGUCUCAAUAGUGCCCUCUUGUAUAUGUGAUUUCCUUCACCCUCUCACAGAAAACGGCAACCGACCUCCAGAGGAAGUCCCACCUCCGUCAAAGUUCCGCCUGUUGGAAGACUGCAGCCACUGAUUGGACAGCGCCAAAGUUUUUCCUCAACAAGACCUUUCCUGAUUGGACAGCGAGGUAUUCGCUUACGCAGAGCCGCCAGCAGGACUUGCCCCUGGCUCCCUUCCCCCCCCCCUCGUCAAGCCGCUGCCCGGAGCUGAGCCGACCGACAUAGGCUGGACUCCUACUAAAGCGAAACCCUACCUCUUCUGUUGCCUACCGCUAUCACCACCGCCAAUCUCCCCAGGUCGUUGCCGCCUCCUCGCCGGACUUGUAAGCAGUGGAAGCCGGCCGGACCAAAGAACAGGAGCCGCCACGUCACCUACACGCACCCCUAUCCCGGUGACGUGGCUGCCGCGCCACGCCUCUUUUUUAGCCCAGAGACAGAAAGAACACACCCCUACUCAUGCAAACUCGAUUCCGCUCUCCUAUUGGUUAGACUGCCGCCGCGGCCCCGCCCCUAAAGAGCCAGAACAAAUCUCGAGGGCUGGGUUAGUGGAGCCUUAAAGAGCCUGCAGCCGCAGAGCCUGUAAAGCUGGAAGUCUAGGCAAAAAUGUUUUCAGCAGACUCGCAAUAUUAACUUUAUUCUCUGGAUGUUGGGGAAGACUGACACCAGGAUUGUAUUCAGCCCUUUUCUGGUUCCUUGUGGCUUCCCUCACGUUUGCGUUCCUGCAUCUGAUUGUCCUGCUUGCCUGACCGUGAGGACCCCCGACGGCUGAACAUGGAUAGCCUGCGCCACAGCACGGUGAUCAGAAGACUUUCGUUAGAUCUUUGUUUACGGCGGCCUGGGGAGUCUGCUUCGUUGCCUAUAAGGACCACAGGAUCCACUUAAUUCACUUCUGCUCUCUCAAGCCCCAACUUUGGGGCAGUCCCUUUGGGGCUCCUCCCGCUCCCAUUCCUGAGACCUGUUUUUUGUGUCUAGUCCUACCUUCCUUGCCUUCCUCAGUUACUUCAUCCCUUGCUUGAUCAUCCGAGGUCCGAUGGUCCUUGUCUUGACAGCAGCCCAUGGCCCCGAAAGGCGCAGGACUCUGCCACCCUCCCCUGCCAGCAUAGCUCUGGGCCUGGCUUUUGUGACGUCAGGUCUCCCACAGCCAGGUGAGGGAACCCCUCCCACCUACAAGGUCUCCUUUCUCCCAUCACAAAAGGUCAAGGAUCUCAGUAUGUGUUGGGCUGUUUAUUAACAAAGUGAGCAAGGGGCUUCAAGGACUGGUGGAUCCAGGCCGCUUCUUUUUCUUCCUUCUUUGGAGAGCACCUUGUGUCUGGUCCAAAUCAGGGGGCUUCCGCUUGGCAGCUGCCUCCAAAGAUGCCCAAAGUUCAUCUGUCUCUGUGUCUUCUGGGGGCACUAAGUUGGACUCUUGAGGUUCUUGGGGCUCAUCCUGAUGGUCAAGAAGGACAUUCAGGAGUCAGGGACAGGGAAAGAGAAUGGCUGAAAAGUAAUCCCACUUUGAUCUAGAAACCAAUGCCCCUGUGUUCUGGAGGACUUCACCCUUGGCAAUAUCCUAUAAAGGCUUGAGGAUUCCUCAAAGAAAUUAAGUUACAGUAAAGAGAAAGUCCUGGCCUGUGUUCUAGCUGCCUCCUGUUUUUUCCACAGAGAAUCCCUUGCCAUCAUGCCUUUGGCUCACAAAUUCUCACACCUAGCUAGUUGCUCACCUCCCAGUUAUCCCGGCCUGACAGAAGAAGACAGUUCAGUUGAGACUUGAGAUAAACCUGUAAAAUAAAAGGGGGUUUUGAG